GACGAACGCUGGCGGCGUGCUUAACACAUGCAAGUCGAACGGAAAGGCCCUGCUUUUGUGGGGUGCUCGAGUGGCGAACGGGUGAGGAACACGUGAGUAACCUGCCCUUGACUUUGGGAUAACUUCAGGAAACUGGGGCUAAUACCGGAUAGGAGCUCCUGCUGCAUGGUGGGGGUGGGAAAGUUUCGGCGGUUGGGGAUGGACUCGCGGCUUAUCAGCGUGUUGGUGGGGUAGUGGCGUACGAAGGCUUUGACGGGUAGCCGGCCGGAGAGGGUGACCGGCCACCUGGUGACUGCGUUGCGGCCCAGGCUCCUACGGGAGGCAGCCGUGCGGACUCUGGCACUGUGGGCGGCUCCCAGAUGCAGUGACGCCGCGUGCGGGAUGCCGGCCUUCGGUUUGUAACCAGCUGUCGACUGUGACGAAGCCCGCGUGACGGUAGUGGGUACAGAAGCAUCGGCUCACCACGUG
This 468-nucleotide ribosomal RNA is filed under the name uncultured bacterium. RNAcentral describes it as "partial 16S ribosomal RNA". It matches the Rfam family "Bacterial small subunit ribosomal RNA", at positions 28 to 507 of the family's 1533-position model. The record is from RNAcentral.